Cyprinus carpio carpio is the source of this 1154-nucleotide long non-coding RNA. The record is from Ensembl. NCBI's taxonomy places the organism in Eukaryota, Metazoa, Chordata, Actinopteri, Cypriniformes, Cyprinidae.
UUAGACCUGUUGAACAUAUUUGGUGUCAAAUUUCAAGAAGCAUUGUAUUAAAAGCAUUGUAAGCCUAAGAAGUUUAUAGAAUCCAGAAUCCACUGGCACCAAUAGUGUUGUUUUUUUUUUUUGUUUUUUUUUUCAAAUAAAUGGAGCUCCAGCCCAACAAGUCCUCCAACCCAUACGACUGUAUAGGUCGUUUGUCACUAUCCCCAAAUACGACCCAUAGUAACGUACUGGCAUAAAGUUGGCUUGAAGUUGGACGUUCGAUAUUUGCAAAUCUAGGGACCGUCUCUAAAGUUACAUGCGAAACUACUAUACACUUCUCUAACGUCAAUAGCAUGCAAGGAGAAUGACUAACAGUCAUGAAAACAACUGUUAACUGUUCAUCCAGGUGUCAACUAUAAUGCACACCUUUUAUAUUUUUUGAUAAUUAUUAAAAUAAACUGUAAAUCAUAUGUAAAAUAUUGCUAAUUUUCAUUACCGAAUGGGCUGAAAAGUAGCAAUAUUACUUCACAGGUAAUGUCGAAGACAUUUAGUUAUAAUUGAUUUACUUUAAUUAAUUUAUCCUUACUUUAUGUGUUAAUAACCUUCCUUAUAGUCCUUCCUUUCAAAUAUUUUGUUCACAGAUCAUUUCUAACACAUGUCUCAACAUGUAUGUAUUAAAACAACAACAACAUUUUCCUUUUUCUUUAUUUCAGUUGAAAAGGAAGACCAAAGGAAGGCCUGUCAAACUCUUGUUUGUGGAGAGGGAUGAAUUUGACCAUCUUGUGUUUACGGAGAAGACCAAAAGCUGCAAAGGCAAACAUUUCCAAUGGUACGUCUGUGUUGGUCUGAGCACCUUGACAGAACUUUACUGUAGUUACUUAAACUUUUUUACAUACGACCCCAUCAGUACGUGCCCUGUGCUACGUCAAAGUAUUAAUAAUUCAUACAAUUUCAGCAAAUUCAUGAUAUUGUACAAGCGUACUCUACAGCUUUUACUCCUGCUCUCAUUGACCAUUGCUUCAACUCUCAGGCAGACUGUGCCCACUGUAAGUCGUCAGAGCGUUUAUAUCCUAAAGUUUAUAUUGAGUCCACUGUAUUCUUUAUUAGCGCCGUCUCUUCCCGUUCUAACAGUACAUGAUAUCUGUCCACACAGAUUGUUAAAAUCACUUUUUUGA